This is a long non-coding RNA of Saimiri boliviensis boliviensis (Bolivian squirrel monkey), 394 nucleotides long. RefSeq lists it as uncharacterized. The record is from RefSeq and is a predicted model, not a curated record. Lineage: Eukaryota; Metazoa; Chordata; Mammalia; Primates; Cebidae.
AGAGAGGCCAGCCCCCAUUCCUGCGGUUCCCUGGGGAGCUGGCUUUCAGCAGGGUUUAGAGCAGCACGAAAAGUGAACUGACCCUGGAAAAAUGGUAAUCUUCACAUCUCUGAGCAUAUGGAACUCCAGCCUCUUCCUGGACACCUGAUGAUCCCCCUGGGAUGGGCUCAGGUUCUGAAAACACAGAACUGUGAGCACGUUGCAUAUCCCAAGCCAGCAGCACGGAAACCUCAGAUGCUGAGGCUACGAUGGGCGCUUGUUCUCUCUCAACCUUCUCUUUCUCUCUCUCCUUUCUUUUCUUCCCUUAAUUCCUUCUUCCUUCCUUCCUUCCAAGAUUUAUACUAUUACCUUUUAGGCAAAACAUCCUGAAUAUGUAGAAUAAAGUAAUGAAAAU